RNAcentral lists this transfer RNA (61 nucleotides) under Pseudocuneopsis capitata. Its description in RNAcentral is "tRNA-Gly". Lineage: Eukaryota; Metazoa; Mollusca; Bivalvia; Unionida; Unionidae. The record is from RNAcentral.
UGUUGAUAGUAUAACCAAGUACAGUUGCCUUCCAAGCAAAAAGCCCUAAAAGGUCAAUAUA